RNAcentral lists this ribosomal RNA (411 nucleotides) under uncultured Pseudoalteromonas sp. Its description in RNAcentral is "bacterial SSU rRNA". It matches the Rfam family "Bacterial small subunit ribosomal RNA", at positions 54 to 468 of the family's 1533-position model. Lineage: Bacteria; Pseudomonadati; Pseudomonadota; Gammaproteobacteria; Alteromonadales; Pseudoalteromonadaceae. The record is from RNAcentral.
CAUGCAAGUCGAGCGGUAACAGAAAGUAGCUUGCUACUUUGCUGACGAGCGGCGGACGGGUGAGUAAUGCUUGGGAACAUGCCUUGAGGUGGGGGACAACAGUUGGAAACGACUGCUAAUACCGCAUAAUGUCUACGGACCAAAGGGGGCUUCGGCUCUCGCCUUUAGAUUGGCCCAAGUGGGAUUAGCUAGUUGGUGAGGUAAUGGCUCACCAAGGCGACGAUCCCUAGCUGGUUUGAGAGGAUGAUCAGCCACACUGGGACUGAGACACGGCCCAGACUCCUACGGGAGGCAGCAGUGGGGAAUAUUGCACAAUGGGCGCAAGCCUGAUGCAGCCAUGCCGCGUGUGUGAAGAAGGCCUUCGGGUUGUAAAGCACUUUCAGUCAGGAGGAAAGGUUAGUAGUUAAUACC